RNAcentral lists this ribosomal RNA (506 nucleotides) under uncultured bacterium. Its description in RNAcentral is "partial 16S ribosomal RNA". It matches the Rfam family "Bacterial small subunit ribosomal RNA", at positions 29 to 523 of the family's 1533-position model. The record is from RNAcentral.
AGUGAACGCUGGCGGUAGGCCUAACACAUGCAAGUCGAACGGCAGCACAAGAGAGCUUGCUCUCUGGGUGGCGAGUGGCGGACGGGUGAGGAAUACAUCGGAAUCUACUCUGUCGUGGGGGAUAACGUAGGGAAACUUACGCUAAUACCGCAUACGACCUACGGGUGAAAGCAGGGGACCUUCGGGCCUUGCGCGAUUGAAUGAGCCGAUGUCGGAUUAGCUAGUUGGCGGGGUAAAGGCCCACCAAGGCGACGAUCCGUAGCUGGUCUGAGAGGAUGAUCAGCCACACUGGAACUGAGACACGGUCCAGACUCCUACGGGAGGCGGCAGUGGGGAAUAUUGGACAAUGGGCGCAAGCCUGAUCCAGCCAUACCGCGUGGGUGAAGAAGGCCUUCGGGUUGUAAAGCCCUUUUGUUGGGAAAGAAAUCCAGCUGGCUAAUACCCGGUUGGGAUGACGGUACCCAAAGAAUAAGCACCGGCUAACUUCGUGCCAGCAGCCGCCGCGG